AGAGCAGCAGUUUCCUAAACUGUUGGUCGCAGGUUCAAAUCCUGUUCGGGGUACCA
RNAcentral lists this transfer RNA (56 nucleotides) under Lentisphaeria bacterium. Its description in RNAcentral is "tRNA-Leu". It matches the Rfam family "tRNA", at positions 20 to 71 of the family's 71-position model. From Rfam's summary of the family: Transfer RNA (tRNA) molecules are approximately 80 nucleotides in length. Their secondary structure includes four short double-helical elements and three loops (D, anti-codon, and T loops). Further hydrogen bonds mediate the characteristic L-shaped molecular structure. tRNAs have two regions of fundamental functional importance: the anti-codon, which is responsible for specific mRNA codon recognition, and the 3' end, to which the tRNAs corresponding amino acid is attached (by aminoacyl-tRNA synthetases). tRNAs cope with the degeneracy of the genetic code in two manners: having more than one tRNA (with a specific anti-codon) for a particular amino acid; and 'wobble' base-pairing, i.e. permitting non-standard base-pairing at the 3rd anti-codon position. The record is from RNAcentral. Lineage: Bacteria; Pseudomonadati; Lentisphaerota; Lentisphaeria.